GGUGGCUCAAUGGUAGAGCACUUGCCUUGCAUGCAUGAGGCCCUGGGUUUGAUUCCUCAGUACUA
This 65-nucleotide transfer RNA is filed under the name Dipodomys ordii (Ord's kangaroo rat). It matches the Rfam family "tRNA". From Rfam's summary of the family: Transfer RNA (tRNA) molecules are approximately 80 nucleotides in length. Their secondary structure includes four short double-helical elements and three loops (D, anti-codon, and T loops). Further hydrogen bonds mediate the characteristic L-shaped molecular structure. tRNAs have two regions of fundamental functional importance: the anti-codon, which is responsible for specific mRNA codon recognition, and the 3' end, to which the tRNAs corresponding amino acid is attached (by aminoacyl-tRNA synthetases). tRNAs cope with the degeneracy of the genetic code in two manners: having more than one tRNA (with a specific anti-codon) for a particular amino acid; and 'wobble' base-pairing, i.e. permitting non-standard base-pairing at the 3rd anti-codon position. Lineage: Eukaryota; Metazoa; Chordata; Mammalia; Rodentia; Heteromyidae. The record is from Rfam by way of RNAcentral.